GUGAGUGACUCUCCUGGGAAGCCAACUGCUCUGGCCCCUGUCUACUCUCCAGGGGACGGAGUCCUAGGACAAUGAAUCUCCUGCCCCCUCUGAACCAUCCCUGAGCAAGAACAGCCUACCUGAGCCAGUUUGGAGAUCUGGGACACAGUGACAGAGAAGAGAUGGCUUCAGAGCAAGGAAACGCCACUAUGACAGCAAAUGUUGCGUGGCCUGAACCACGGCCUGGGCCUGCGGUAGGAUUCUUUCUUCUCCUUGGGGACACUCAAAGCUGGAAGCCAUCAAAUGACUCAGAACAACAUCUCAGCAUGCACCUCACACAACCACUGCAGUUAAAGUUAAACCGCGCAAAGCUCUGUGGAGCCAAAGGAAGGCUUUGUGUACGCUAAGUUCACAUUCUCCCAUCGAGUCACAUCUCCAGUGCCGCCGGUGGCCUCUUGAUGACAUCAGGACUUUACGGAAGCAACGGAAAAGGCACUUCGUUGUUUAGAGUUUGUCCAUGGUUUGGAUUCAUCUCUCCUGAGCCUAUGUUCAUAAAUGCAUGAGUAGCAUUGUCCCCAAAGAAACCACAUUUAAGAGUUAGAUUUGAAAGAAGGACUAGGAAUAUUUUUAUAACUGUUUUUGUUUGUUGGUUUGUUUGUUUGAGACCAAAGAUUCCAUGCUGUUGAAAAAGUUGGAACGAACAGCCCAUGGCUAUGUUCCAGUGACCUACUACUGAGCCCACUUGCUCUCUGGAAGAAAAAUGCUGCCCUCAAAGACUCUAUAAGUAGAAUUCUUCAGGUGGGAAUGGACUGGCCACUGCCGAGCAGAUGCAGACGGCUUCUGUACCUGAGCUUCCUGCCGUGGCCCUGGUGGGAGACUGGAGGGUAGAGAACAAAACAAGCUAAGUAAAUUACGUUUCCAAAUGACAUAGGAACAUUUUUUUUUAUUGUCAACCAUAUUUCUACGU
Molecule: non-coding RNA, 946 nt
Organism: Myodes glareolus (Bank vole)
Lineage: Eukaryota; Metazoa; Chordata; Mammalia; Rodentia; Cricetidae
Source: RefSeq, a predicted model, not a curated record